Molecule: long non-coding RNA, 699 nt
Organism: Lolium rigidum
Lineage: Eukaryota; Viridiplantae; Streptophyta; Magnoliopsida; Poales; Poaceae
Exons: 2
Source: RefSeq, a predicted model, not a curated record
UGAUGCUCUCGGAGUCUGGGAAAUGGAUGUUCCUAGAGUAAUAAAAUCUUUUGAACUCAAUUAUUUCAGUUUGAUAGCUAGCUGUGCCUAGGGGUUCUCAUAUAUUAUAUUCUCUUCCAAAUAAAAUGAUUUUAGAACAGUUUCAACCUUUGGGAAUGGUCUUUGUGAUAAUACAAUAAUACCACUUGGCUAUAAGAUGCACUUCACUGUUGGGCGCAGUAUGUAGGGUAAGCUAUAGUUAUUUCGUAUACUUCACUGGUAAUUCCUAUUCCUUGCAAUCUGUGGCUCCUAUUUUUAAAAUUGUCUAUGACUACAUCAGACAAAUUUACAAAACUGGGAAUUUGGAAGGUUCAGUUUUAGUACAACUUACGUGCACUACAUUUCUUACAGAUCAUAGCAAUCUAUUUACUGAAGUCUGUUCCAGCAGAUUUGAGGUACACAUAAGCAGGCUGGGAAAGGUAGAAUGGCUGUGUUCUAAAAAAAGAGAAGGUUGAAUGGCGCAGUUGUCCCAGAAAUAAAGAGUUCGAGGUUUUUCGGUACUAUUUCUUAUACAAAAUGUUCAGAGCCGACAAAAACAGGGCUAUCCAUCUUUAGGAGAAAAAAACUGUUUCAUGAUUGGCUCUACAUGCAUGUAUACUUUUACCGGGAUAUUCUUAUUUUGACUAGAAAUUCAAUGGAUCUGUGUGUCUUAAUUUUUAA